This is a non-coding RNA of Acanthosepion pharaonis, 113 nucleotides long. The record is from the annotation of a GenBank genome assembly. Lineage: Eukaryota; Metazoa; Mollusca; Cephalopoda; Sepiida; Sepiidae.
UAUGGCCAUAUCACCUUGAAACUCUGGUUCUUGUACGAUCACUGAAGUCAAGCAACAUCGAGCCUGGUCAGUACUUAGAUUGGUAACUGAUUGGGAAUAUCAGGUUCUGUAAG